UACGGAGGGUGCAAGCAUUGAUCGGAAUUACUGGGCGUAAAGGGCGCGUAGGCGGCAAAGAAAGUCAGAUGUGAAAUACCGGGGCUCAACCCCGGUGCUGCAUUUGAAACUUCUUAGCUAGAGUUCAGUUAGGGAAAACAGAAUUCCACGUGUAGCGGUGAAAUGCGUAGAUAUGUGGAAGAAUACCGGUGGUGAAGACGGUUUUCUGGGCUGAAACUGACGCUGAGGCGCGAAAGCAAGGGGAGCAAACAGG
RNAcentral lists this ribosomal RNA (253 nucleotides) under uncultured bacterium. RNAcentral's name for it is "partial 16S ribosomal RNA". It matches the Rfam family "Bacterial small subunit ribosomal RNA", at positions 524 to 776 of the family's 1533-position model. The record is from RNAcentral.